This 429-nucleotide ribosomal RNA is filed under the name uncultured bacterium. RNAcentral describes it as "bacterial SSU rRNA". It matches the Rfam family "Bacterial small subunit ribosomal RNA", at positions 138 to 585 of the family's 1533-position model. The record is from RNAcentral.
GGGGGAUAACAGCCAGAAAUGACUGCUAAUACCGCAUAAGCGCACAGAACCGCAUGGUUCGGUGUGAAAAACUCCGGUGGUAUAAGAUGGACCCGCGUUGGAUUAGCUAGUUGGCAGGGCAGCGGCCUACCAAGGCGACGAUCCAUAGCCGGCCUGAGAGGGUGAACGGCCACAUUGGGACUGAGACGCGGCCCAGACUCCUACGGGAGGCAGCAGUGGGGAAUAUUGCACAAUGGGGGAAACCCUGAUGCAGCGACGCCGCGUGAAGGAAGAAGUAUCUCGGUAUGUAAACUUCUAUCAGCAGGGAAGAUAAUGACGGUACCUGACUAAGAAGCCCCGGCUAACUACGUGCCAGCAGCCGCGGUAAUACGUAGGGGGCAAGCGUUAUCCGGAUUUACUGGGUGUAAAGGGAGCGUAGACGGCGCAGCA